Non-coding RNA from Misgurnus anguillicaudatus (oriental weatherfish), 679 nucleotides. NCBI's taxonomy places the organism in Eukaryota, Metazoa, Chordata, Actinopteri, Cypriniformes, Cobitidae. The record is from RefSeq and is a predicted model, not a curated record.
ACACACCGGUUCUGACUGAGAGAGUCACAGCCUCAGAGGCAACGUAAACAAGCGUUAUAUUUCUCUAUAAACGAUGGUGUCUGUACUGCCUUACCACUUCGAGCUCGAUCCAGAGAGUUCAGAAGGCCGUUACGAUAUAAACGAUCUCCGUCAAUGAAUGCGAUUGGAUUUAACUUUUUUAGGUGUCCUUAGCUCUGCCAGAAUGCUAAACGAAGACGAAAAUGUGUUGCAAAGACAUCCAAAAGGUUUUAAGGAGAAUGCAACAGGUUCCAGGGCCUCUUACCUGCGUGAUUCAUCAUCCAGGUUUUGCACAAAUUGUCUAAAUCCCUACACACAGAACAUUUAUUGUACCGACUAUAAGCCUUUGAGGCGCAGGACUAGAAUAUGCUUGGAGCUUCCUGAUCGGAAUGUUGGCUUCCGACGACCCCUGCACUGAAGAUGGCAUGCAAUCACGUCCUCCUUUGAAGGUCUGUCAAACUGUGAUGCCAGGUCCAUUGGAAUCGGGGUUUCCUUCAGCUUAUCUUCAAAUACCUCAGCAAACACAAGCCUGAUCACAUCAUCCACAUAACUGUACAAAUAUUGCAGUCAAUAAAUCUUUUGUUUUGAUAAUUUAUUUCCCUGCUUCAUACAUUAAGUUUUUAAUUAUGAAUGUAUUUGAAAUAAAACAUUACUGCUUACA